UACUGUCUUAUGCAUAAUAUACUCAGUGAAAUCAUCGUAAUGUUGUUUAUUGUAUCAGUCUUUAUCCCAUUUGAUCUUUAACUUUUCAUUAGCAAGGUUGAUGAGUUUGUAAAGGCUAAAGUGGAUCCUUUAAUCACUAUAAAUCAGGGGAUGUGUAAAUCCAAGCCCUUCUGGAAGAGAAUCUGGAACAAUGUCAAUAAAUAGAGAGAAUAUUGACAUUAGGAAGGAUAUGCUUAAUAUUGUUAGAGAGUCUAUCUCAAAUGUGCGUGCUCAACAUAAGCAAUCUGACAUGUGGCAACACUUUGAGAAAAUUUUCAAUGAGAGAACCGGCAUAGCAGACAGAACGAAGUGUUCG
Long non-coding RNA from Pistacia vera, 355 nucleotides. RefSeq lists it as uncharacterized. NCBI's taxonomy places the organism in Eukaryota, Viridiplantae, Streptophyta, Magnoliopsida, Sapindales, Anacardiaceae. The transcript is spliced from 3 exons. The record is from RefSeq and is a predicted model, not a curated record.